AGCUGCCUUGACUGAGUAAGUCAGAGAAGGCUUCCUGGAGGAGAGCGAAGGGUGUGGGGCUGGGUUGAGAUACAGGAAGAUCUGGGUUUGAAUUAUAGUUUGGCUGCUUCCUAGCUGUUUGAUCUUGGACAAAACUUUCAUUCAUUCUAUAUUUUUUGGAGUGUCUACUCCAUGCCAAUCAUGUGUGAAAUGUUGGGAUAACAAAGGCGAAUUCAAUCUGGCUCUCGUCCUCGGAGCUUAAGCAAAUCAUCUGGGGUAGCGUGACCCAUGCUACGAUGGAGGUGGAAUACGGGGCUGCAGGGCGGGGCCACAGGACAUAGUGGGCAGCUUAACCUCCUUGAGCCUCCCUAUCCCUAAUUCACGUGAUGGGGUUUGUAACCACUUCUCACAUCGUUGAGAGAAAAGGGUGAGCCUGACUCAGAGGUGUGGCAAAGGAAGGGCAGGGCAGGCUUUAAGGACAGGGACAGGGCUGUCAGAGGCUGAGGCUAGGGAGGGGCAGGAAGGGGUGUGAGGCAGGGCGGAAGAGAGCAGGGCCCUGGGCAGGUGCUGAGCCAGGUCCUGCAGGUCACCCAGUCGCUUGAGUCCACGAAUGCUGGAGGCAGGCACUGGAGAGCCAGGGUGGUUCAGCCGCAGCUCCUCUGAGCAGGGAGUCAAACAGGGCUGAAACAGACACCAGCUCUCCAGGACCAGCUGGUAAGAGCUUCUCCACUGCCCCCGAGCCCUGACAGGAGGACUCCCACAGUGUGCAUGGAAGCCCAGGGAGCUCGGGGGCUACAGAGGCACCAUUGGCUCUGGAGCCUGCAGCCCAGACAGCCCCCUCCAGAUGUAAUGGGGGAAGGAGCCAGGGACUGGGAGGAAUUCAGAGGUCAGAGGAGGAGCAGUAUCAGGAGAUACUGCCCUCCUGCAACUCCUCCUCCCAGCUGCUCUCCCCUCCUGCUAGUGCCCACAAUGGCUCCCAGCUGCCUCCUAUAAGGAAGCUUUAUUAGCCUGCAGCCUGUACUCCUCCACGCAGCAGAGCUGACAGGACCCCAUUAGUCAGCUUAUUCAACCCUUCCCCUGGUGCACAAACCCUUGCCAAGCUUUUCUGGCAUUUUGCUCAGCCUGCUUGGACCCUCCAAGCAGGUAGGAACUCACUGUUUCACAAAGCAGUGUUAUUAGAAAGGUUUCCCUGACCCUAGCCCCCCACAUCUAAUCUUUCUCAAAUGUGGGCAGACUUGUUCCUGGCCCCUUCUCAUUCCACCAGUGCACACAUGCACAUGCUCCCUCUCUCCAUCCAAGCUCCAGGAAUCAACCUCUACCCUGAACCAGGUCCCUGAGGACCACCACGUGGCUGCAACACAGCAGGUGUGGGGCAGGGCACAAGUGGGCUUAAGGGGGGUAUAAGGGCUGGCAGUUUGCUCAUUGAUUCACUCAACAAACAUGUACUGAGCACCUCUAAAGGGCCAGGGCCUGUGCUAGGCACUGCGGUGCCAUGGUGAGCAAAUCCAGAAAUGGACCCUGCCCUCUAGGAGUUCACAGUCCAGAGGAGAAGCCCGAUGCUGAACAGAGAAUCACAUCCGUGAGCAACACAAAAGGCAAGGCAAACCCUGGGCAGAUGCCCCCGGGACUGUGUGUUAUGGGCCUACAGGAAGCCUCUCCCAAUGAAAAAGCAAUUUUUCAGCCAGAACCUCCACCAGUGUCUUUCAAACUGUCUCAAUCAAAAACCUCUGAAAGCCACUGGCCUAGAGUUAGAGGAAGAGUUAGCCAUGAGAAAUGGUGGUGACACAGGUUCCAAAAGAAGAAACAAUAGGUAUCAGGCUCAGAGAUGAAAGGGCUAGAAGGAGGACACACCAAGUUCAAGGUCUGGCCUUUCUCGAGGGCAGUGGGGAGCCAUGGGAGGUUAGCAAGAUCCCAUCUUCUUCAUCCCUGGGCCUCACCCCAUGGGCAGGAGGGAAAUGGCAGGAAGUUGUCUUUGUGUCUCCCCAGGAGCCUGGACCUGUGGCCUUCCCUGCCUCCACCUGGGCCUCAACCGUCACGACCACCUGGCCUUUGAGGUAGGGUUUGGAGAAGGAAGUCAGCCUAUUAUCAGGAGAAGGCUUGAAUUUCUAUAUUCAUAGCUUGUUUCUGUCACUUACUAGCCUUGUGAUCAUGGGCAACUUGUCUAAUCUCUGUCCCUCAGUUUCCUCCUUUGUAAAAUAGGUCUCAUAGAACUCAUCCCCAAAAGUCCUUGUGAAGAUUUAGUUUGUAAGCCAGAUGUCUGCAGACCUCCAGUAAAAGAAUAUGUUUUUGGUAUUAGUAUGUAUGUCCCAAAUAUUGCUUGGAAUAUGCUUAUACAAACAAAAAUCAUUUGUUUUUUAUCUGAAAUUCAAAUUUACCUGGAUGUCCUGUAUUUUAUCUGGAAACCCUACACAGAAAUCAAAUGGCUCACGCUGUGUCUCAGAGCUGCAACGAUCCAACGCCCUCCAUCCUUCAGAGGCUGUCUGAGUCCGGGGACACAACUCCCACCCUCCUCUCCUGCCAGCCGCGGCCCGUGGCUGCUCUCUUCACUUCGUCCCGCUUCGCCCCGACUGUGGAUCUACCCGCUCCCUUCUCCCUCAGUCCCCAAAGCACCAGACUCACAGGCCUGCUGUGUGACCCACUUUUACCGACCUUUCGGGGAGAGUAGAGGGCAUUUGUGACUCAGCUCAGAGCAGGAAACACAUCUCACGUCAACUGUCAGACAGCGCUGCUCCGAAUCCCAUCACAGUGCUCCAGCAGGGGGCGUCCUCACCGGCCGCGGCCACAGCCACGGCUCAACCCGGCCUAGCUCCCAGACACCCUCCUUCCACCGCCUGUUUUCCACCGUCCCCGCCUGCUCUUUCAAGCCAGCAGCAAACAACACCCUAAUCCGUGUCUUUAUUAUUCAAAGACCUUAAGCACUCUUUCCCACCUCGUUCCCAUCUUGAUUAUUUCAGGGAAUGAAUUAGGGAUUCACCUUUACAAUCAAAAAAGUUCUCUCAAAGCCAGGCUACUGGAGUUCUAAUUCUGCCUUCCCACUUUUACUAGCUGUGAAAUCUCAGGAAAGUUACUUAACCUCUCUCUGUCUCAUUUUCCUCAUCUUUAAAAAACAGGAUGAUAAUAUUUAGCUCCUAAGAUGGUUGUGAGGAUUUAAGUGAGCUGAUAUAUCCAAGAAUGUCUAGAACAGCGCGUGGCAGAAUGGGCAUUGCAUAUGGGUUUAAUCUUGUAACUGCCAUGUUUCACCAAUUCUAAGGUGUAUCUCGUUUCUCAUCAUAAGAGCUCUUCCGCUCGUGUGGCAGCUGGGAGUGGCCGUCAUUGCCUGCGCAUACCUAAACUUGGUCAGCAGCCAAGUGUUUUGUGAGACCUAAGAAAGGAAGAGCCCCAUAAGUAAAUGGAACUGUUGUGUUGUUUUAUUACCGAGAAAAGGGCAGAAUGAUUGCUAGUCACACGUGAAGCAAGAAAACCCCGGCAAUAAAGCUUGCAGAAUGAGUGGCUGAGGCUUGAAAAUAAAUGGUGGAAACAAUAGUGGACAAUCUUUUAAAGAAUGGCACAUUGCCAAUGCUCCUGAUGGCACAGAAGGUGACACCAUGCAGAAAAUCAAGGCUCUGAGUCAAAGAGGGUUUCAGAAAAAUUGGACUCUGAAUGUGAAGAAAUCUGGGGACUAUUUUAGCCAAUUUGUUUUGCCUAUAAUUUCCUUUUAUGCAUGCAAAAGAGCAAUUCUGAC
Molecule: long non-coding RNA, 3700 nt
Filed under: Homo sapiens (human)
Lineage: Eukaryota; Metazoa; Chordata; Mammalia; Primates; Hominidae
Description: HSALNT0368137
Source: RNAcentral